CCUACGGGAGGCAGCAGUGGGGGAUAUUGCACAAUGGGGGGAACCCUGAUGCAGCGACGCCGCGUGGGUGAAGGAGCGUUUCGGCGCGUAAAGCCCUAUCGGCAGGGAAGAAGGAGGACGGUACCUGACUAAGACGCCCCGGCUAACUACGUGCCCGCAGCCGCGGUAAUACGUAGGGGGCCAGCGUUAUCCGGAUUUACUGGGUGUAAAGGGGGCGCAGACGGCAGCGCAAGCCAGGAGUGAAAGCCCGGGCCCAACCCCGGGACUGCUCUUGGAACUGCGCGGCUGGAGUGCAGGAGGGGCAGGCGGAAUUCCUGGUGUAGCGGUGAAAUGCGUAGAUAUCAGGAGGAACACCGGUGGCGAAGGCGGCUUGCUGGACUGCGACUGACGUUGAGGCCCGAAAGCGUGGGGAGCAAACAGGAUUAGAUACCCCGGUAGUC
Molecule: ribosomal RNA, 440 nt
Filed under: uncultured bacterium
Lineage: Bacteria
Description: partial 16S ribosomal RNA
Rfam family: Bacterial small subunit ribosomal RNA
Source: RNAcentral